RNAcentral lists this non-coding RNA (85 nucleotides) under unclassified sequences. RNAcentral's name for it is "c-di-GMP sequence". It matches the Rfam family "c-di-GMP-II-GAG riboswitch aptamer". The record is from Rfam by way of RNAcentral.
UCGUACGCGGAGGGCUUGGACGCGCGGCCCACAUUCUGGCCGCCGGGACCGCGCCGAGCCACUGGCGAGACCGACCCGCGCAUGG